GGCAGCAAAAUGGCAGCAUUCCUAUACACUAUGCUUUCAUAUUCCCUAGUAUUCCACGCCUCAACACCUUGAAAAUUAAGUAACUUAUUGUUUUUUAAUAUUUUAGCUUGGGACUCAUAAUCGCUUGGUCGCUGGUUCAAGUCCAGCAGGGGCCACCA
This 158-nucleotide transfer RNA is filed under the name Citrobacter braakii. Its description in RNAcentral is "tRNA-Met". Lineage: Bacteria; Pseudomonadati; Pseudomonadota; Gammaproteobacteria; Enterobacterales; Enterobacteriaceae. The record is from RNAcentral.